CUUUAGUAAUUGCGAAUGAACAAGGAUAUGCUUAGCUUGACAAAUGGAGCUAUUGGCUUUGAAUUGUAUUGUGGAAAUGUAUUACCAACAGAGGUGCAGGUGCCAGCCUAUUGAAAUAAAGCGUCAAUGAGGGUGAGAAUCCUGUUUGUCAUGUGCAGCCCUUUGUGCACGGUGUAUAUUUGCUGAGUCACACUCCUUGGCAUUGGAAUGCAAAGUGGGUGGUAAGUUUCAUGUAAAGGUAAACAUGCAAUUGAGACUGAUAGCACACAAGUACCAUGAGGGAAAUAUGAAAAGGACUUUGAAAAGAGAAUUAAAUGAGUUUGUAUUUGCUGAACACAAAGUAAACAGACUUGAUUUGCUUGGUGGGAGUGUUGCACUUGCUUGACAAGAGCUUUGGGCUGUGGGUGUAAUGAUUCUUUCUUUGCAUGCCAGUUUCUAUUUGUACAUCUGAUUACCUUUGCACAUGAAUGAUAAGUCUCCUGUGGGGGGUGGAUUGCAUGUGCAUGUAAUGAUUUGUGUUUUGAUAAAUGUGUCUGGUGUAUGUGUGUGUUCCUGUGCUUGGGGAUGCUUCCUUCCUUGGACUUACAAGCCCUGACACACACAUGCUGGCAAAAUGCUUCUGCUUGACCCGUCUUGAAACACGGACCAAGGAGUCUAACAGAUGUGCAAAGUUUGAAGGUGGUAUACCUUUGUGUGCAAUGAAAGUGUCAGCUGGGAUAUGUGCACCAGCACCCAAUUAAUUAGCGGACAGAGGUUUGAGUUGGAGCAUAUCUAUUAGGACCCGAAAGAUGGUGAACUAUGCCUGAACAGAAUGAAUUCAGAGGAAACUCUGAUGGAGGUUCGUAUCGAUACUGACGUGCAAAUCGUUCGUCAUAUUUGGGUAUAGGGGCGAAAGACUAAUCGAACCAUCUAGUAGCUGGUUCCCUCCGAAGUUUCCCUCAGGAUAGCUGGAGUUGCUCAGUUUUAUCAGGUAAAGCGAAUGAUUAGAGGAAUUGGGGACAGGUUUGUCUUUGACCUAUUCUCAAACUUUAAAUGGGUAAUAUGUAGUGGUGCUGUAUGGAACUUCUAAGAUAAAUGGCAAUAUUGGGUGGGCCAUUUUUGGUAAGCAGAACUGGCGAUGAGGGA
RNAcentral lists this ribosomal RNA (1125 nucleotides) under Alexandrium catenella. Its description in RNAcentral is "partial large subunit ribosomal RNA". It matches the Rfam family "Eukaryotic large subunit ribosomal RNA", at positions 78 to 1163 of the family's 3401-position model. The record is from RNAcentral. Lineage: Eukaryota; Dinophyceae; Gonyaulacales; Pyrocystaceae.